This is a long non-coding RNA of Heterocephalus glaber (naked mole-rat), 1700 nucleotides long. The record is from Ensembl. NCBI's taxonomy places the organism in Eukaryota, Metazoa, Chordata, Mammalia, Rodentia, Bathyergidae.
GCUGGUCAAAACGCUUUUAAUAAGUUAAUGUCAGAAUAAGAAUCUUUCCUAAGUUUUGAGUCUAUAUAGUUUAUUUUAGAGUACAAAAGAAUAGGACGUAUUUUUGAAAACAUAAGAUAGGUUAGAUUUCCCAGCAUUCCGAAACAAAAAUUUAAGAUAUGAAAUAGCAACUUUCUUGUCCUAUUUUUGGCUCUAACACUGAUUUGUUUUUUGAAUUACCUAAUUAUAUCAACACACUUCCUAGCUGUACAUUAAAUUCUGUCAGGCAUCUUAAAUGUUCAGUGAGCUGGGCAUGGUGGUGCGUGUCUAUAAUCCUAGCACCUGGGAGGCUGAGGCAGGAGGAUCUCUUGAGUUUGAGGUCAGCCUGGGCUACACACUGAGUUCAAGACCAGCCUGAAUUCAAUAGGGAGGCCCUGUCCCCCUCGCCCAAAAAAGUAUAUUGAAGUAGUUUAUGCAUACAUUGAAGAGGCUCUGUGACCAGAGAGAAAACCUAAAUUAUUGUGAAUGAGUAAAAGAGAAAAAAGAAUUCUUACAAAGGCCACCUUCUGUUUAAUGAUGCUAAUGAGAAACACUUUGUUAAUUAGUCUCUCUAUAAAAAGUACAGGUAUUUCACCUCUGCCUUUAUUUCCUUAGCCAAAGAUUCACCAUAUCCUCAAUUAAGGUCCUGUUUCUAUUAUGUCUCUAUAAUGAAGGGAAGAACCUCUCAGAUGUAGAGUAGAAAAUAUAGCAGCUAAAAAUUCAAGGAAUCCCAGAAUCACGAGCUCUAAAAUUACGGAAGGAAAAGUUUCUAACAAAGUGAGAUCCCAAAGUCUGGGAGAACUAAAUAUUUCUGAGCAACAAGGUUCUUGAGAUGACUGAGUGGGUAACAACACACCCUGUCCCAUGCCAGACCCUGUACUUCAAGUGCUUUCUGCCCUCUGAGAGUCAUAGAACUUCAGAAGUCAAUUCUCUUCUAGAGUGCCCAGGCUUCCUAAAGUGAGUUCUUCAUGAAAUAUCUGAUCAGUUGUUUUAAAAUCUGCUUAUUACCAUUACAUGAUGAAAAACAUGCUUUGUUGGUCACCAAUAAAAAGCGUUUAUAAUACUUAUGAAAUAUCUAAAAUUAUGGUAUUCAAAUAUUACAUUCCUUUAUCCCUUUAAACAAUUGUCUGCACUCUUCUGGUUUUUUAGUUCCGUCUGAUAGUGCCUUUUAUGAGGUACAGAUAUUUCCUGUUUCACAGAAUAAAUUAGGCGUUACCUGGUGAGACAGAACACACACGCUAACUCCAGCCUCUUCUUAAGAAGCUGUUGUGGCCUCACCUUAUGGCCUGGUCUAACCCCAGUUACCUUCCACAGGCUCUGCCCUCCCAGUAAUGGUAACAGAUGAGUUAGGGGCUGAAUUUUUCAACACAUGAACUGUUAUUUAUUUAUUUUUUGGUGCCGGGGAUCGAACUCGGGUCCUUGCGCUUGCGCAGCAGGUGGCGAAACCACCGAGCUAAAUCCCCGGCCCAACACAUGAACUUUUGAGGGCUAUUUUUAAGCCAGAACACACGAAAAUGCUGGAUUCUUCUAUUCUUCAAAAAUUAAUAAAGUUGUCUUAGUUGGCAUUUUAUCAGGACUCUACCUGGUUUUGUGUUUACUAAAUAUACAGAACACAAAAAAUAAAGGAAAAUAAAAUUUCUUAUAAUUUGUGAUAUCUUCAUUUCCAAAAAUUUUGAUUAGAG